RNAcentral lists this ribosomal RNA (484 nucleotides) under uncultured bacterium. RNAcentral describes it as "bacterial SSU rRNA". It matches the Rfam family "Bacterial small subunit ribosomal RNA", at positions 501 to 988 of the family's 1533-position model. The record is from RNAcentral.
CUACGUGCCAGCAGCCGCGGUAAUACGUAUGUCACAAGCGUUAUCCGGAUUUAUUGGGCGUAAAGCGCGUCUAGGUGGUUAUGUAAGUCUGAUGUGAAAAUGCAGGGCUCAACUCUGUAUUGCGUUGGAAACUGCAUGACUAGAGUACUGGAGAGGUAAGCGGAACUACAAGUGUAGAGGUGAAAUUCGUAGAUAUUUGUAGGAAUGCCGAUGGGGAAGCCAGCUUACUGGACAGAUACUGACGCUAAAGCGCGAAGGCGUGGGUAGCAAACAGGAUUAGAUACCCUGGUAGUCCACGCCGUAAACGAUGAUUACUAGGUGUUGGGGGUCGAACCUCAGCGCCCAAGCUAACGCGAUAAGUAAUCCGCCUGGGGAGUACGUACGCAAGUAUGAAACUCAAAGGAAUUGACGGGGACCCGCACAAGCGGUGGAGCAUGUGGUUUAAUUCGACGCAACGCGAGGAACCUUACCAGCGUUUGACAUC